CCUACGGGAGGCAGCAGUAGGGAAUAUUGCUCAAUGGGCGAAACCCUGAAGCAGCAACGCCGCGUGGAGGAUGAAGGUUUUCGGAUUGUAAACCCCUUUUGUUAGAGAAGAAAAUGACUGUAUGUAACGAAUAACCACCGGCUAACUUCGUGCCAGCAGCCGCGGUAAUACGGAGGGUGCAAGCGUUACUCGGAAUUACUGGGCGUAAAGGGAGCGUAGGCGGGAUAGUAAGUCAGAUGUGAAGUCCUACGGCUUAACCAUAGAACUGCAUUUGAAACUGGUAUUCUAGAGUACAGGAGAGGUAGGUGGAAUUCUUGGUGUAGGGGUAAAAUCCGUAGAGAUCAAGAAGAAUACUCAUUGCGAAGGCGACCUGCUAGAAUAUAACUGACGCUGAUGCGCGAAAGCGUGGGGAGCAAACAGGAUUAGAUACCCUUGUAGUC
This 440-nucleotide ribosomal RNA is filed under the name uncultured bacterium. Its description in RNAcentral is "partial 16S ribosomal RNA". It matches the Rfam family "Bacterial small subunit ribosomal RNA", at positions 338 to 795 of the family's 1533-position model. The record is from RNAcentral.